CCUACGGGAGGCAGCAGUGGGGAAUAUUGGACAAUGGGGGGAACCCUGAUCCAGCCAUGCCGCGUGUGUGAAGAAGGCCCUCGGGUUGUAAAGCACUUUCAGUGAGGAAGAACGCCUGGUGGUUAAUACCCAUCAGGAAAGACAUCACUCACAGAAGAAGCACCGGCUAACUCCGUGCCAGCAGCCGCGGUAAUACGGAGGGUGCGAGCGUUAAUCGGAAUUACUGGGCGUAAAGCGCGCGUAGGUGGCUUGAUAAGCCGGUUGUGAAAGCCCCGGGCUCAACCUGGGAACGGCAUCCGGAACUGUCAAGCUAGAGUGCAGGAGAGGAAGGUAGAAUUCCUGGUGUAGCGGUGAAAUGCGUAGAGAUCGGGAGGAAUACCAGUGGCGAAGGCGGCCUUCUGGACUGACACUGACACUGAGGUGCGAAAGCGUGGGUAGCAAACAGGAUUAGAUACCCUAGUAGUC
RNAcentral lists this ribosomal RNA (465 nucleotides) under Vreelandella stevensii. RNAcentral's name for it is "partial 16S ribosomal RNA". It matches the Rfam family "Bacterial small subunit ribosomal RNA", at positions 338 to 795 of the family's 1533-position model. Lineage: Bacteria; Pseudomonadati; Pseudomonadota; Gammaproteobacteria; Oceanospirillales; Halomonadaceae. The record is from RNAcentral.